UGGAGAAAGAAGGAGCAGUCAGGAAUGUGCAAAGAAGAGCACUAAACCAACAGCCACCAGAGAAAUGGAAAAUAGCAUUUAUCUCGAUGGGAUAAAAGUGAAUAUUUGCACAAAUUAUUUUUUUUGCUGGGGGGGGCAGGGAAUAAGGUUCUACUCAACCAAAUGUAGUAAUUUCUGCUGAAAAACUGGAGCUGGGGUUUGUUCGCUGGUGUUUCCCAUUGUUCUUGCCCUGAGUGUACAUUUACCUUAAGAGCAUGAAGAUGAGUCACCAUAUACAAAUGUAGCCCAAAGGAGACCAGGUUGUCUGUAAUAUUUAGCUGCUGAGAGGAAAAGCAAACUAUAAUGUUAAAAUAAAUAUUCAUUUUGGGCUUUUCUUGUCAUUUUACAACUAGUUAUUUUGCAUUGAAAGCAUUUUGUACCGUUUUUGUUUCAAGUGCUGAGUUUGUGUAAAAUUUAUGGUUAAUACGAGCCUUUCUACCAGAGAAAUUAAAACCAAAAUAUCUCCUUAACUUCAGGACUACAUCAGAAACGCAAUAAGCACACCAAUAAAUCAGAGGGGGGAAUUCUUUGGUAUUCAUUGCAGAAACAGCUCCAGGACUGGGUGAAGGGCCUUAUUCCAUAAAAUCAUCACAAGGCAGCAACAAUAAAAAUACUCUGCACUGCAAAAUGAGUGUUUUCCAUCCUGCAUUUAUUGUAAUAUUACCGUGGAGCAAUCAGGCUCCCACUGAAUCCAUCUGCAGUACAUUUGGAUGUUCAUAAACAUAUUUUUCACCACCAUUACACUCAAUAUCAAUACGGGAAGUUUCAAUUUGCAAGCCUAAAAUGAUUUCUUUAUCUGUUCUCAAGCUGUGCCGUCGGAAUGAAUCCCGGUGAUCUAUGGCUACAAUUACUCAAUACUGGAUUAAGUGCAGCUACAUUAUGCAAAUGGUUACUGUGAUUAGGAAACUGCCUGCAGGCUAAUGUGCUGCCAAAGAACACCACGCCAUUUUAGAAGAUCUUGUUCGCUCUCUACAAAUUCAGAUGUGAAUCACCAUUUUUGUUUGUAACUAAAUGCGUAUCGCAUGAAAAUGUAAGUAUUACAGACGCUGAUAAAUUCAUAUGUAAUAUCCGCCCCUCCCCUUCCAAAAACGACUACCGCAGUUUCACUGCCCUACUGCCUUCCUGGUUCAGAAUUAUGGUUUCGCUGCUGGAUCUGAAGAGGUGGCAGCCUUCUUGGUGGAGGCCCUGAACUGACGCCAGCCAUGAAGACGGGCCAUGGGGAGCCUUGCUUAAGCAACAGGUUCUGCAUGAGUUCUGUGGAUUCCUAUAUCCUUUGUCAUUCUUAUGGUCCCAACUGCUGUUUUGUCCCAGAACUCCUGGUCAUAGCUGUCAACUGUCCCUUAUUUGGUGGGAAACUCCCUUAUCCCAGCGCCGUGUCCUGCUGCUGUCCCUUAUUGAUGAUGUCCCUUAAAUUUCCCGGGUUUCAUGCUCGCCCGGCUCGGGAGGGAAGCAGCGGCUCGGGGUCCUCCGCCACGAGAGAGAGCACCGCGUCUCUGUCUCUCCCUUUUUCCCCUCAGGGGCACGUCGUGGGUGGGCAGGCAGCCCCUCUCUUGCGAGACUUCUGCCGCACUGCCAGGGGAAGCCGGAGGCGGCAGCGGCGGCUGAGGAGUAAGCCUGAGGGAGGAGGAAGAGGAGGGGAUAGGGAGGGACGCAGAAGGGCGGCGCUUCAGCGGCCACCGCAGUGCCGCAACUGCCUCAUGCUGGGCUCGUGGGCGGCGUGGGCAAGAGUCCCUAUCCCUCCCUCCCUCCCUCCCUCUCUCUCUCUCAGGCGGGGGUCGAUCGAACUCCUCACGCCAGGACGACGGCAGCCCCGACGUGCUGCUUAGCAUCCCCUCCAACCAGUGCAGCAUCUUAAUGUAGUGAUUUCCCCCUCUGCAUCCCUUUCAUAACUCUAUUUUUAUAAAUCAUUUGUCCAUCCAUAAUUCAAAUUUUUACUACAAGUUUUCUGUCAAUCCUACCAAUGUAUGUAACUCUUUACAAAAGCUUUUCAAAUAAAUUAUAAACUUUCUCCAUUCUUUAUUAAAGAGGUCCUCUUCCUGGUUUCUAAUUCUGCCUGUAAGCUUUGCCAUCUCGACGUCGUUCAUCAGUUUUGUCUGCCACUCUUCUUUGGUCGGAGUUGUAGACCCUUAGGCUCAUCUAGUCCAACCCCCUGCAAAACACAGUCAGUGGCAGCCAAAGCAGCACGGCUCCAUCAGUGGCAGAUUUCUGUAUAAGCUAAGCCAAAAUCCCUUAUUUUGGCUGCUGAGCCCUUAUUUUCGAGGCUGCUGGUCCCUUAUUUUCAAAUCUAUAAGUUGACAGCUAUGCUCCUGGUUCCAAGCUUCUAGUUCCCAGCUCAAGGUUUUGCUUCUAGCAUUUAAAGUCCCAAACAACAUGGGAACAGCCAGGGUGAGGCAGCCACCUCGGGCAAGUGAAGCAAAGAGAGAGUUGCGCUUCCCCCUGUGUGUGAUAAAACAAGCGGCACAUGCCUUUAUUUCCUGACAGAGGCAGACUUUGCUACUAUGGCUCCUCAGCCAGGCCAAAAUUUGGUGCCCCCUUCCAGCCCUUGCUCUGUGCUGGCCUGGACAAGUGCUUACAGGGUGGCAUGUGGGCGCCCUUUCUGCUUGGUGCCCAGUGAGGGGAAACUGGUCGUGCUGCCCUAAAAUUGCCUCUGUUACUGAUGAGAGAAGUCCAACACAUGCUGAAAUUUGAAAUGGCAAGAUCUCAGUGAGUUGGCUUUUCCUUUCACUCACUUCUAAAAGAAGCUUGGUAUUCUCGCUGCCUUAAAUGAGAAAAUGAGGUUAUUCACUCCCAUUUAUUCCCUAGGACUGGGUGAGUUAGGAGUCCUUGGGCAGAUCUCCCUAGUAAACACAGAUCCCGGAUGCCAAGACUGCAAGUGACUUUUAAACAGGCAGUUUACUGCUCCUUAACACAGCUUCAAUAAUCCUUUCUAUUUUCUUCCAGCAUUUAAACAGAGCCUACUCUGCUGAGGAUUUUUACCGAGGACCAGAACAGGGUUCCAUCCUCUAGGUGGCCAGUGCUCAGAAGUUUUUCUCAGAUGCUUAAUUUUUUAUAUGAUUACAAAUUCUGUUGCUGAGGAAAGUUACUUCCUUCUGCCCUGCAAAAUUAUCUGACAAUUUCUAUUCCCCCCCCCAAAAAAUUCUUGGUUUUCACAAUAUUAUAAACAAACAAACAAACAAACAAACAAACAAGACAAACAAACAUAAAUCAUAGCCUUAUUGAAAAUUACACUUAUUAACUUUGUUAAGUGACUUCCUCGCUUCCGCUUGGCUGAAUUUCAUUGCAUGUCCCUUUUAACGGUUUUCCAAAUCCCAAUUCUUAUGAAAUUUAACAUAAAAACUUAAAACAUCCUUAAAUCUUCACCUUAUGGAAUUAAACAUAUUAAUUCAUCACUUAACAUAAAUAAAAUCCUAAGCCAAUUAAGUAUGUGCAAGCUAUUUUCAGUUAAAUUAACUUAACAAAUUUAACUAGAUAAUCAUUAAAUUUAUUCCACUCUUCCUGAUACUCCUCCUCCUUCUGGUCGCGGACUCUUCCGGUUAGGUCUGACAAUUUCUAAGGACCUGGUUGUGAAUGUCCAAGUGCAUACGUACCAGAAAACAGAGACUUGUUUACAAUUUCCUUUCUCCUUUUAUAUUUUUGGUUUUCAUUGUUCUUCUUUAUUUCACACCCCAUGUGUGGCAUAUAAUGAUGGACGGCAGUGAAACUUUCCUAAGCAAUUUUUUCAUGUGACUCUUACAUUGUAUCAGCUGGAGAACACAAGUCCAUAGGAAGCAAAAUUUUAGUUUAACUUUGCAUAUGCCCAAGAUUAAUCUACAAAUUUGACCCCUCAAUUGGCAUCAGAGCUACAGCUAGCAUUAUACAUAUGUAUUACAAAUGAAAGUCAGAUUGAUUGGUGAACAAACAGCAGAUUUAUGUUGUAUAAGUCUUAUCAGUAUGCAUUUACUUGACAUUGGUAGCAGUGAACAAAACACAGUGUAGGUUAGGCACUUAAAUAUAAAAACUCCAAAAUUUAGCUGCAUUUAGUUCAGUUCCCACCAAAAGACUUCAUUUUUGAAAAUGUAGGUGGUUAAUUUCAGGCAUCUUGAUGUUUAGAGAAAAAGGCUACAUUUGUAUUUUGCGCAUGAGCAGAAGAAUAUCCAUGUAGCAGCAAAACCGGAUACCUUCAUCUGCCUCAGCUGCAGCAAAACAUGUCUGCCCUCUGGUAGCACAAGGAUGGAAGACUGAAGAAACCCCAACUAAAGAAUCAUGGCAAGAAAAAUGGAUGGACUAUGCAGAACUGGCAAAACUGACACAUAAGCUACGGGACAAGGAUAACUGUGACUUUAAGGACGAAUGGGAACCCUUUACAAAGUAUCUGAAGAUGCAACAAAGUGAACUGGACUCCUUGGCAGGUUUUGAAUAAACAUUCACAAACUUUUUAUUGAUAAUAAUCAGCUAAAUAGUUUGAGGAUCUAUACAACUUUGUAACAUGCAGAAAACAGCAGUCUCAGAGAAACCAAAGACUGGAACUGAGGGAAGGCGGGGGGUGGGGGCAGGUGGGUUUUGUGGGGGGGGGAGGGAGGGAGGAAAAAUGGGGGGGGGGCAAGGAUGAUAUGUUUUUGGAUAAUAUGUCUUGUUUUAAUUUUGAAUAUAUUUUUUAAAAAAACCAAAACAUGUCUGCCCUCCAUUGGUGUGCAGGCGCUGUGACUCUCCAACGGAUUGACCUCACCCCUGAAGGCAAACUCUUACAUUGUCUCCCAAGACAGACACAUGCCAACAAUUGAGCCUGUGUCAGGUCAGUGGUGUUCCUCCAAAGCAGGCCAAAUGAAUAAUUGGCUUUACUGUUUGUAUUAUGAUGUAGCAAGAUUCGAUUUGAUUU
Molecule: non-coding RNA, 4894 nt
Organism: Podarcis lilfordi (Lilford's wall lizard)
Lineage: Eukaryota; Metazoa; Chordata; Lepidosauria; Squamata; Lacertidae
Source: the annotation of a GenBank genome assembly